RNAcentral lists this long non-coding RNA (547 nucleotides) under Trifolium pratense (red clover). Its description in RNAcentral is "long non-coding RNA (TPRA_LNC003522)". The record is from RNAcentral. Lineage: Eukaryota; Viridiplantae; Streptophyta; Magnoliopsida; Fabales; Fabaceae.
AACAACAUAUUAGCUUUUUUUUUUUUUUUUUGGAAUACAUCACCAACAUUAUUUUAGAAUACAAAGUCAAAGUUGCAAGUAUGUGAAAUUAAGUAAAAAUCAAAAUAAAAUUAUUGAUUGCUUAUUAUAGUAGAAGUCAUUCUUCCCUAUAUAGACGUAUGACGUUUGUGUACAUCUUAUGGAUCCAAAAGCCAUUUAACACAAAAGCCAUUUAGGCAACAAGUUAUGAAUUGGUUGGGUGCAAUGACUUCAUCAGGACAAUCUUUAGGGGAUGUACAUUUGAUAGAUGUUAACGUUGGAUUGCUUUCAAAUUCACCACCGGCAAACACCUCUGUAAUAAAAAAUAGGAAAACAAAUAAAAUUAUUGCGGAAGCUAACUUAAUAGUUUUAUCCAUGUUUCUUUUCUUUUCUUUUCGUAUAUAACAAAAAGAAUACAAUUUUAUCAAUUUAUAGGGUAUAAAGGUCACCAAAUAUUAAAACAAUUAAAUAUUUUCUUCUUUAGGAUAUUUAAUAAAUGUCUCUUCGGUUGAUCAAUGUGUAGAGUUUG